AUGACGUCAAUCAUCAUGCCCCUUAUGACCUGGGCUACACACGUGCUACAAUGGCUGGUACAACGAGUCGCAAGCCGGUGACGGCAAGCUAAUCUCUUAAAGCCAGUCUCAGUUCGGAUUGUAGGCUGCAACUCGCCUACAUGAAGUCGGAAUCGCUAGUAAUCGCGGAUCAGCACGCCGCGGUGAAUACGUUCCCGGGCCUUGUACACACCGCCCGUCACACCACGAGAGUUUGUAACACCCGAAGUCGGUGAGGUAACCUUUUAGG
Molecule: ribosomal RNA, 268 nt
Filed under: uncultured bacterium
Lineage: Bacteria
Description: partial 16S ribosomal RNA
Rfam family: Bacterial small subunit ribosomal RNA
Source: RNAcentral